AGCAGUGGGGGAAUAAUUGGACAAUGGGCGAAAGCCUGAUCCAGCCAUGCCGCAUGAGUGAAGAAGGCCUUCGGGUUGUAAAGCUCUUUUAGUGAGAAAGAUAAUGACGGUACUCACAGAAGAAGUCCUGGCUAACUCCGUGCCAGCAGCCGCGGUAAUACGGAGAGGGCUAGCGUUAUUCGGAAUUAUUGGGCGUAAAGAGCGCGUAGGCUGAUUAGUAAGUUAAAAGUGAAAUCCCAAAGCUUAACUUUGGAAUUGCUUUUUAAAACUGCUAGUCUAGAGAUUGAAAGAGGAUAGAGGAAUUCCUAGUGUAGAGGUGAAAUUCGUAAAUAUUAGGAGGAACACCAGUGGCGAAGGCGUCUAUCUGGUUCAAAUCUGACGCUGAGGCGCGAAGGGCGUGGGGAGCAAACAGGGAUUAGAUACC
Molecule: ribosomal RNA, 424 nt
Filed under: uncultured bacterium
Lineage: Bacteria
Description: bacterial SSU rRNA
Rfam family: Bacterial small subunit ribosomal RNA
Source: RNAcentral